CUAGUAUUUAGCAAGAAUGUUCCACAUGCUCUGUGUUAUACAAUUUGCUUUUAUGCUUUGUCACAUUUAAUAUUCAGAAAAACCCUUUGAGGGAGGUAAAUCCUGUUAUUUACAUCUUUCAGAUGAGCAAACUAUGACCUUGGAAAGGUGUAGUUGCUUGUUAAGUUCUCAACUGGGAAGGCCCUGGACCGUAAAGGUAGAAUAAAUCAGAACCUCAAGCCUGCAUGAGGUAGGCCGAUGCUAUAAAUUUCUCCAGAGAAAAUCCUUUCUACCAUGAAAAUCUCAGGACAAGAGAGGUCAGCUCCUUGUUUUUCCUCUCCGCGGUAUGGGGUUUCUCAGAGAUUUUUGGUGGUGGCUAAUUGAUCAUGGUGUCCCUAGGAAUGAAACAGCUGGGCAGUCUGCUGGAGUAUUGCUUGAUCUGCAACAUCGAAAAACUCUAGUUCUGGUGGCCAAACCCUGACUUAAGUUGCCACGAUGGAGAGAAGGACCACUCACCAGGUUUUCUGGCCUAAGCCAAUUCACAGACUCAGAGCCUCUUGAGGAAGGACUCUUCAUUACGGUUUCAAGCCCACGUUAUGUGAAAGCUCUUCCUUGAAGCCUCUACUGCUGCCCCCAAGAAGUGUGACCGCCCCUCCUUUGAACCUCCAUGAUUGAUGACGAAUAAGCCAUUCAUUCUACUUAAACUGAUUACAGUAGUGGGUUAUGAUCUCUUCAACACAGAAACGACACCAUGACUGUUUUUAAUGACUUCCAAUAUACGAAGAAAAACUAAGAACUCAGAACUUAGGGUGGGUGUGGUAGGGGAAUUAUAGUAUAAAAUCCAUGUGUUUUAGAGCUCGUUGGACUGUAAGAGGUUGGAAGAGCUCAGGUAUGUUUUGGGUUAGUCCAGUCCCUCAAACUAUUUCUUUCAAAUGUUUUCUUUCAACCAAAUCUGAAACACAUUUUGCCAAAACCUUUCUUGCCUUAAUUUUUAAAGCCAUGUGUAUUUAAAGGGACAUUUAAUCCAUAUGUUUUGGCUCAUUUACACUUAACUCAUCAAGAUAUUGUUUUGAAGAGCUAUUUGAGCUCCAUGGAACCCAUUUUAUAAGUCUUUUCUUCUGCAGUACUAGGAAGUUGUGUUUUGCUGGAAACAGAAAUUGAACCCACGAAAUGAUUAAGUUUGGAUGAAAAUUGAGAAUGUACAAGAUUUUUUGAGAGCCACUAAACUUUACUUAGAAAAGCGUGUUAUUCUUUUGCAGUUUUUUAGUUGCUUCUUCUAAGUACCAAUAUGCUUUGGGCAAGAUGCUAAAUUUGAUCAUCUAUUAAAUCUUUAUUUCACAGUUAAAUGUGUGAAUGCUUAUUGCCCAAAAUAUCUUCUUUAGUGAAAAGAUAAAAGCAAGUUAAAAAAAAAUAAGGAGAAUAUACAACAGAGCGAGCUCUAAACUCCUUUUGAUGUUGAUGCUGAGAUAAACUUGGACCUUCAGGGUAGCUUUUCUCUUCCCAUCAGCACUUCCAUAGAGUUCUGCCCACUCUUUUCCUGAAGUUCCUUCUGCAGGGUUUCAGGGAGAUAGGGAGCUACUGCUGAAUGGGG
This 1570-nucleotide long non-coding RNA is filed under the name Equus asinus (donkey). RNAcentral's name for it is "lncRNA (ENSEASG00005037687.1)". The record is from RNAcentral. Lineage: Eukaryota; Metazoa; Chordata; Mammalia; Perissodactyla; Equidae.